Molecule: long non-coding RNA, 423 nt
Organism: Triticum dicoccoides
Lineage: Eukaryota; Viridiplantae; Streptophyta; Magnoliopsida; Poales; Poaceae
Exons: 2
Source: RefSeq, a predicted model, not a curated record
AUGCGUGCAUGCUCCAACCUGUCCCCUGUCGCAGCCCCACCACUCGAUGCCGAUGCACUCCAACCCGAGGACCACCAUGAUGGAGGUCACCUCACAGCAUAGCGACGAGUGUUUGUUGGUUUCUCUUUCAUUUACGGACAUCUUGGGCUUGCUGGGUGCAGAAUCAAGAAUCCCAAUCAUCAUCAGGGAUGAAAAAAGGAGAGAAGCACGGGAAGAGGUACUAGUAGAAGAGGAAGAAGUAAUGUGAAAAAUGAGAUAAAUGUGACAAUAGCAAGUAGAAAAGCAUGAGAGGGAUUCAGAUUUUGUUUUCACAUUCUUGCUGUACACGUACCUUUGGUCUGUAGAUGCACCGUAAUGGAUCUAGGAAGUAUGAAUGGUUAAUACCUCAAUGGUGCACUAUGCAUCUUUGGCAGGUUUUUAUGC